UCAACAUCGCAUUACUAUUGGCAAUAUCCGGUUCUCUCUGUCGUGGGAGUUUGACGAAAGACGAAUUAUCAUGUAAAUUUCUGUUAGGAUUUGUAGUAAGGGACUAGAUUAUUGAGUAACGCUUUAAAAGAGUAAAAAGUGGCAUUAACUUUAAGUUAGUAAAUUUGUUUAUUUUAUUAAUGCUAUAAAGAUUGAAAUUUUCUUUCUUUUUGUGACAUAAACUUUUGGAAUAAAAUUUUCAUAUAGAACCAGAAAAUACAGAUACUAUUGAAAUAGGUUAAGGAAUGUUUUCACAGUUACUGAUAUUGGUAUUAUUAGACAGCGUUUUAGCAAAAUCACUAUCAUCGAACGGCAACGAGCACAUAGGAGUAGGUAGAUCUAAACGACAUUUAAGUGAAUUUAAAGUUGCAGAAUACAUGACACUAUUAGGAAACAGCUGUGCAUCAGUAAAUUGUGGUCUCUACAACAUAAUGCAAAGCGGGCGACGAAAAAGAAGGGCGCCUGUGGAUUUUGGAACAUAUCUGGCAUGUUGUGGAUAGGGAUUAAUUUCCUUUUAAGAUGCAACAUUAUAGAUUAUGUUGCUGCAACCCAACAAAGACAGUUGUUAAAGCGAUGUGUAAAUAUUUUGUACAGAUAGUUUCCUCUACGUUGGAUCUGGACAUCGUCAAAAGAAUCUCCACCUUAUUUUCAUGACAUUUCAUCAUCAGGGAAUAAAAAUUAAAUGAAUUAGGAACUAAAGGCUGCGUUGGAAUAAAUCGAAUUUUUUAUCGCUUAUUUAAUAUUUUUAACAUGUACUUUUACAAAUACACACAUUCCAAUGGUUAAAAGAUGAAACUUAGAUUGAAAUAAUAAUAGAGUCUGGACUACAUACUUUCAAUGUCUUCUGGUCAUAAAUAUAAAGCAUUUUAAUUACCCGUUAUUGUAGUGAUAUUAUGCACAUUCCUAAUAUACAUAAAAUUAAAAGCAUUCCAAGAAAUAUUUCUUUAAAAAAAAACAGCAAAUCAUCUAAAACUGGGUUCAGGGUCACCAUAAUUUGGCUAAAUAUCUUCAUUAGAAAUACGAUACCGUUUCUUUUCUCGAGUACAUUUUAUCCUUUCUUUUAACUUUCAGAGAAUAACGCUGUCAAAUAUUGAUGGCCAGAUCAUGUAUUACUGAAACUAAAACCAUGCAUAUCAUAGAGUUUGCUUGUUACUUAAGUAAAAACGUUUGACUUUUAGCCGUGCAAUUUUAUUUACUAACGCUUAUUGUAUCUAUUCGUUCAUUAUCAUACAUUUUAGUAGUGUGCUAUGUUAUAUCACUCCAUCAUUACCGAAUUUUUACAUAUCGCGUCUAGCCUUUUCAAGUAACAAAAAAUUUCACACAACAUCUAUAAAUCAAGAGUAGGUCACGCAAUAAAAGCUUACCAUCACUAAAUAAAGCUUACUUUAGCCAAGUCAAAGUUCAUCUGAAUGGACACUAUUAACUUUGGAUUCUGCAUAUAAUCUUGAAAUGACAAGUCCCUGUGUUUGAUUUCAUGAAAAAUAAAUCCUUUGCCGUCUUCUUGAUUUUUAUUUUUGAAUUAUUUAGUUAGCAUAUUUUAGAUACAUUUGUAACACUAUAACAAAAUGCAUUCAUUUAACACCAAAUUUAGAGAAAUAAAUCUAUAAAUUUCAAGUCAAAGGAAAUAUGGUUAAAGAUAUCAUGUUUUUUUCUAAACGUCUUAUCGCAAUUUGGCAACUUUACUGGACAUCAAAGGCGUUCCAGAAAAAAUUUGACUUUGAAAUUACCAAAAAAGUGAUUACUGUAUGACGCCAUUUGUUUCGCAAAAUCUCGGAUCAACUAUCGUCAAUAGUGAUGAGAUCUUUUGAAAUUUUAAGGUUCAAGGUAGUAUUAGAACUCGUAUUAUAAUUUCUUAUAUAAAAUGUCUUUACCACUGCACUGUAUAUGAUACAGCAUGGUGAUAUUAUUGAAAUAAAGCUGUGUCUGUA
This is a long non-coding RNA of Mytilus californianus (California mussel), 1967 nucleotides long. RefSeq lists it as uncharacterized. The transcript is spliced from 5 exons. The record is from RefSeq and is a predicted model, not a curated record. NCBI's taxonomy places the organism in Eukaryota, Metazoa, Mollusca, Bivalvia, Mytilida, Mytilidae.